This 548-nucleotide ribosomal RNA is filed under the name uncultured bacterium. RNAcentral describes it as "bacterial SSU rRNA". It matches the Rfam family "Bacterial small subunit ribosomal RNA", at positions 355 to 896 of the family's 1533-position model. The record is from RNAcentral.
UAGGGAAUCUUCCGCAAUAGGCGAAAGCCUGACGGAGCAACGCCGCGUGAGUGAAGAAGGAUUUCGGUUCGUAAAGCUCUGUUGUUAGGGAAGAAUGAUUGUGUAGUAACUAUACACAGUAGAGACGGUACCUAACCAGAAAGCCACGGCUAACUACGUGCCAGCAGCCGCGGUAAUACGUAGGUGGCAAGCGUUGUCCGGAAUUAUUGGGCGUAAAGCGCGCGCAGGUGGUUUAAUAAGUCUGAUGUGAAAGCCCACGGCUCAACCGUGGAGGGUCAUUGGAAACUGUUAAACUUGAGUGCAGGAGAGAAAAGUGGAAUUCCUAGUGUAGCGGUGAAAUGCGUAGAGAUUAGGAGGAACACCAGUGGCGAAGGCGGCUUUUUGGCCUGUAACUGACACUGAGGCGCGAAAGCGUGGGGAGCAAACAGGAUUAGAUACCCUGGUAGUCCACGCCGUAAACGAUGAGUGCUAAGUGUUGGUCUCAUAAGAGAUCAGUGCUGCAGCUAACGCAUUAAGCACUCCGCCUGGGGAGUACGACCGCAAGGUUG